Molecule: long non-coding RNA, 1104 nt
Organism: Dromiciops gliroides (monito del monte)
Lineage: Eukaryota; Metazoa; Chordata; Mammalia; Microbiotheria; Microbiotheriidae
Exons: 4
Source: RefSeq, a predicted model, not a curated record
GGGCACAGGCUGGCAAAACCACCAGACAGGCUCAUUCAGUCUUGCCACCGCUUUGUGCUGGGAAAGGACAGACAGAGGGAGAAAAGGUACGAGAGAAAGAGAAAGACAGACAGACAAGACCCAUAUAUUUCACUGAAAGAGCAAAGGACAAAGGCAGCUGACUGGAAAGAUUCUUUCCUCUCCCAAAUCAGGAAGAAGGCAAGGUCGGACCUUGUCCAACACCAAAGGAAUCUGGCACCGUGGGUUCUCCAGCUCCUUAGGACCACUAAAGAAAAGAGGGGGAAGAUAUGACCUGACCACCCACCCAUUGGGCUGCCAGGUAUCCUGACUCAGGGACCUUCUAUCCUGCUAUCUCUAUUCUUACCAUGCCAUUCCCUGGGCAUGAGAGGUUAACAGCUAUUUUGAGAUGAAAGACAAGGGCCAAAACAAGAAAAACGAUUAAGGAUGGUGAGUGGAGGAGGAGAAGGGAAGCGGGGAAGGUAUAAUGGUGACCAAAAGGGAGACAGAAUCCCUGAUUGCUUGUCCAUAGCAGAGUGGCCAAGGGCAAUGAGGGUUAAGUGACUUGCCCAGGAUCACACAGUAUCUGAGGAUGGAUUUGAACUCAGGUCCUCCUGAAUCCAGAGCCUGUGCUUUAUCCACUGCACCACCUAGCUGCCCCAAGAUUGGUUCACUUUGGUUGCAACUUGUGGUUGUGUGGACUGCUCCAUGCUACAGGCCUAGAAGAUCAAAUCAGAUUCAGUGUCUCCUGAAUGUCAUUUUAUUACACAAUCUAGCAUUCUCUAAACUACGAGGAACUGCUUCUGCUCUUUGCCAUUAAUGUGGAAAGCUCCAGCAGUGGGUAAAUCAGAGUCCAACAUAAAGACAUUCUCCUUCCUCCUCCCACCAAAGUCUACAAUUUAUUCCAAUAUGUUACUUUUCAAUCCCCGGAAGUUCGCUCACUAUUGUGCCGAGCUUUCCUAUCCUUCACUCUAGGAAGCUGCUACCUCAGGUUUUUCUCCUGCUCUCUGUGGUAGAUACUGUCUUUCUUCCAGUCUCAUUAACAGUCUUCAUCCAAUACCCUGAUGCAGCCCUACAUAAAGCAAACAUAUUUCUCUUGGUGACAUG